AUACGUAGGGGGCGAGCGUUGUCCGGAAUGAUUGGGCGUAAAGGGCGCGUAGGCGGCGCGGUAAGUCUGGAGUGAAAGUCCUGCUUUCAAGGUGGGAAUUGCUUUGGAUACUGCCGCGCUUGAGUGCAGGAGAGGUUAUCGGAAUUCCCGGUGUAGCGGUAAAAUGCGUAGAGAUCGGGAGGAACACCAGUGGCGAAGGCGGGUAACUGGACUGCAACUGACGCUGAGGCGCGAAAGUGUGGGGAGCAAACAGGAUUAGAUACCCUGGUAGUCCACACUGUAAACGUUGAGUGCUAGGUGUAAGAGGUAGCGACCACUUUUGUGCCGGAGUCAACACAAUAAGCAUUCCGCCUGGGGAGUACGGCCGCAAGGUUGAAACUCAAAUGAAUUGACGGGG
Molecule: ribosomal RNA, 397 nt
Filed under: uncultured bacterium
Lineage: Bacteria
Description: partial 16S ribosomal RNA
Rfam family: Bacterial small subunit ribosomal RNA
Source: RNAcentral